CUACGGGCCGCUCCAGUCGGGAAUUUUCUGCAAUGCGCGCAAGCGUGACAGAGUGAGCCAGAGUGCUUCUCAAUGAGAAGCUUUUGUCAAAUGCAAAAAGUUUGGCGAAUAAGGACUGGGUAAGACUAGUGCCAGCCGCCGCGGUAAUCCUAGCGGUCCAAGUCGCAACCAUUUUUAUUGGGUCUAAAAUAUCCGUAGCUUGCUUCGUAAGUCCUUUGUGAAAUCCGGCAUCUUAAGUGUCGGGCGCGCGGAGGGUACUGCAAAGCUAGAGACUGGUAGACGUAAGAAGUACGGUCAAAGUAGCGGUAAAAUGCGUUAAUCUUGGCCGGACUCACAACAGCGAAGGCAUCUUACGAGGACAGUUCUGACAGUAAGGGAUGAAGGCUAGGGGCGCAAAAGGGAUUAGAUACCCGAGUAGUC
RNAcentral lists this ribosomal RNA (420 nucleotides) under uncultured archaeon. RNAcentral's name for it is "partial 16S ribosomal RNA". It matches the Rfam family "Archaeal small subunit ribosomal RNA", at positions 323 to 746 of the family's 1478-position model. The record is from RNAcentral.